This 622-nucleotide long non-coding RNA is filed under the name Carica papaya (papaya). Its description in RNAcentral is "long non-coding RNA (CPAP_LNC016311)". Lineage: Eukaryota; Viridiplantae; Streptophyta; Magnoliopsida; Brassicales; Caricaceae. The record is from RNAcentral.
GGAUUGGGUCCAUAGGGAACCGUAUCGGGAACGUUGUUUCAUACCGGACAGGGUAUGGAGACUUUAAAUAUUUUGGCGUUCAUACUGGACGGGAUAUGAGGACGACCCGCUUCACCAUCAUACCAGACGGGGUAUUGAGGUUUAUUGUUUGGCGCCCAUACCGGACGAGGUAUGGGGACGGCUCUGGAAAUUAAGUUUGUUAAGGGAAUGGCUCAUGUGUAGCAGAGACCCCUAUGGAUCCUCAUGGAUACUAGUAGGCUGAUGAAAAAGGGAGCAACUGUUAUUUGAUGGUUGAAAUAUAAAAGUAUGACAUGUACUAUGUUACAGAUUAUGUAUGAAUUUAUGAUAUCUAUGAUGUUAUUAUUUUCAUAAGUCAUUUUUAUGAAUCCCACUGAGAUAAGGGGACGGUAAAUGGUUUGGUUAUUGAUAAAUAAAUUUACUUGAAACUUGUGCUCAAUUAGUUCUUUUUAGUUUUCUACCAACAUUUACUUAUGUGACAGUGAUAUAGUGUGAUGUCUUUACUGGACUAGUGUACCUCAUUCCUUACUUAACCAUUUCAGAUCAGGAGGACUUGGUUCCCGAGCCUGAUUUACAAGAAGACGACGAGUAGUUACCUAAAUAU